This 253-nucleotide ribosomal RNA is filed under the name uncultured bacterium. RNAcentral's name for it is "partial 16S ribosomal RNA". It matches the Rfam family "Bacterial small subunit ribosomal RNA", at positions 524 to 776 of the family's 1533-position model. The record is from RNAcentral.
AACUUAGGACGCUAGCGUUAUCCGGAAUUACUGGGCGUAAAGCGCGGGCAGGCGGUCUGACAAGUCUUAUGUGAAAUCUCCGGGCUCAACCGGGAGAGGCCAUUGGAAACUGACAGGCUGGAGGGCAGUAGAGGUAGGCGGAAUUCCGGGUGGAGUGGUGAAAUGCGUAGAGAUCCGGAGGAACACCAGAGGCGAAGGCGGCCUACUGGGCUGCACCUGACGCUGAGCCGCGAAAGCCAGGGGAGCGAACGGG